CCGCAUAAGCCCACGGUACCGCAUGGUACUGAGGGAAAAGGAUUUAUUCGCUUUAGGAUGGACUCGCGUCCAAUUAGCUAGUUGGUGAGGUAACGGCCCACCAAGGCGACGAUUGGUAGCCGGACUGAGAGGUUGAACGGCCACAUUGGGACUGAGACACGGCCCAGACUCCUACGGGAGGCAGCAGUGGGGGAUAUUGCACAAUGGGGGAAACCCUGAUGCAGCGACGCCGCGUGGAGGAAGAAGGUUUUCGGAUUGUAAACUCCUGUCGUUAGGGACGAUAAUGACGGUACCUAACAAGAAAGCACCGGCUAACUACGUGCCAGCAGCCGCGGUAAAACGUAGGGUGCAAGCGUUGUCCGGAAUUACUGGGUGUAAAGGGAGCGCAGGCGGGAAGACAAGUUGGAAGUGAAAACCAUGGGCUCAACCCAUGAAUUGCUUUCAAAACUGUUUUUCUUGAGUAGUGCAGAGGUAGAUGGAAUUCCCGGUGUAGCGGUGGAAUGCGUAGAUAUCGGGAGGAACACCAGUGGCGAAGGCGGUCUACUGGGCACCAACUGACGCUGAGGCUCGAAAGCAUGGGUAGCAAACAGGAUUAGAUACCCUGGUAGUCCAUGCCGUAAACGAUGAUUACUAGGUGUUGGGGGAUUGACCCCCUCAGUGCCGCAGUUAACACAAUAAGUAAUCCACCUGGGGAGUA
This 697-nucleotide ribosomal RNA is filed under the name uncultured bacterium. Its description in RNAcentral is "bacterial SSU rRNA". It matches the Rfam family "Bacterial small subunit ribosomal RNA", at positions 169 to 882 of the family's 1533-position model. The record is from RNAcentral.